CCGCGCAACGCCUCGAGGCGGCCCACAGGCUGACCCCGGAAGUCCCCCUCAACUUCCGGUCCGCUGCUUCCCCGCCCCCCUCGCCAGCCCAGCGAGGCCGCUCUAGGCGCGGGGAGCCUAACGACUCGUGUGUUGUUCCAACUUCACUCCUAUCACUACGUGAGAGUAAUUGUUGCUGUACAUUUUUUGAAACCUCAUUAUGGCCAAACUGCAUUUUGCAGCUGGUCUCUCAGAAGCAGCAGAUAUGAACCCAGGCAUUGUGGUGGACAGUUUUUCAUCCCAGCAGACUGUGGCCCUGAGAAGGACCUUCUGGGUGACAACGCCUGUGCCACCAGUGGGCCAUGGUGGGGAUCUUGGAAGGUUGUACAUGUGCUGGCCCUGGCAUAAAACUCUCUAAAAGUAGCUUCUUUUCAUCGGUUGGAAAACCCAGAACGACCUUCUCAACGGCAUCGAAGCUCCCAGGUCUAGAAGCCAGGAGGCGCCAUGCAGGCCUCGGCGAGAACCCUGCCAUGGCUUCCUAGUCCUCCUGUCUCUGAAAGGAUGCCAGAGAGAUGCUUGCGGCAAUAACAGUGAGUUUUCUUUUUCUUCCUGAAAGUUGUUUCUUCUCAAGCAGAAGUUGCGACUGGAUUAAAAGCUCUGAGGCCCUACUCAGCCUGAAGCUGGGAGAGCCUGGGAAGGGGCUUCCAACACAGCCUAGGGGUUCAGGUGCCACCUUGGGAAAAGACAGACAUUCCCUCUUUUUGGGAUACUGUGACUGGGCAACAAUGAGUGAAGUCACAAGCCAGAGACUCCCAACUCGACCAUUUUCCAAUGUUACUUUGUUGAUAACACAUCCAGAAGAUAAACCUACCAAACCAUAUUAAGUAAAUCAUACAAUUUCAAUGGGCCAGAAUUACUCAAUCCACAGGAAAAAAGAAAAACCAGCCCAGAAUUAGUCAGCUGGGCCAGCCUAGGGGCUGCAAGCUCUCUGCAAGCAGUGCCUAAACUCUGGGGGGCCAGGGUGCAGCGGGGGCCCAGCAGGCAUCUGAGCCCCAACAGGGCAACCUCUGUGCCUGUCUCAUCAAGAGAGCAUUAAGAGGAAUGCCGACUUCACUGCUCCCAUUGUGGUGCAGCAGUAAUGAACCCGAAGUAUCCAUGACAA
Phacochoerus africanus (Common warthog) is the source of this 1141-nucleotide long non-coding RNA. RefSeq lists it as uncharacterized. The transcript has 5 exons. The record is from RefSeq and is a predicted model, not a curated record. NCBI's taxonomy places the organism in Eukaryota, Metazoa, Chordata, Mammalia, Artiodactyla, Suidae.